Puntigrus tetrazona (Sumatra barb) is the source of this 3625-nucleotide long non-coding RNA. RefSeq lists it as uncharacterized. Lineage: Eukaryota; Metazoa; Chordata; Actinopteri; Cypriniformes; Cyprinidae. The transcript has 2 exons. The record is from RefSeq and is a predicted model, not a curated record.
GUGUGUGUGUGUGUGUGUGUGUGUGUGUGUAAAGUGCAUUGUCAUUUGAAGUUUUCUCAGUGUAAGAGCUUGCUUGCAACUGCAGACCUAUAUUUGGUUCGUUAGAAAUAACUGAAGUUAUUGCAGGGCCGGUGGACAGUAAACACCAGUGUGGAUUCCACAUUCUGUCCGUUGCACGCAAAAAAAAAUGAUUUGCACUAAAAAAAGAAACGGAAAUCUCACGUGCACAGGGAAAAAAAUAAGCUGUAUAUACAAAGCGGUUGCGAUUUGGUGUCAAUCAUGUUGAACGACUUCAAACGUGAACGCCAUAUUCGCGACUGCUUCCCCCAGUCUGAUGCACGCGGAGCGGGCUACUAGUUAUAAAACGAUGAACACGAUGAUGUCAAGUGUGAUCAUCUCGUCGCGCGCAGCCUGGCUCUGUCGUGCAUCUCGAAAUAGAUCAAAGUCACAAGAGUUUACGUGUAAAUGGGCAUCAGGUAAAAUAGGCUACAAACGGGGAGGGGUUGGAGAGGAGCUUUUUAUUUCCAUGUGGAGCGUCUGUCUGCGUUCGCAGCAUCGAAUGCGCGCGUGAAAAGAAAAAAACAGCAUUUGAUAAGAACGCGCCUUUAAUUAAAGACAGCCGGGAAUUAUUACCCACGACCCAAUCGUCGCUCUUAUGUAAGGGUGCCGAGGCUUUUUCGAGCGCCAAUGGCUGAACGAAUGACCUUGAGAUGGGAAACCACUGGGAAGCGAUGCAGAAUAACGAUCCGUGAUCUUUAACUGAGGAAUUAUCGGACUUCGCCGCGGAGAUCUGUUGAAGCGCAUCGACCGCGUCACCGUCCGCGCGUUUGCUUUAGACGCCGUUUAUGCAUCACGAGCCUUUUGGUGUGACAGAAUAUGUGCGGAACACCAUUUGCAUAUACGUGCAACCGAGCCUGCUAACGUUUAACACCCCUAACUGGCAUUUCCCCGCGUCUUUAUUGACGCGCCAGCGUGAUUUUGGACCGUUGCGCGGGAGCCCGCAGAGAAAAGACGCAGUCCCUUUUGCCUGUGCCAUUGCACUGUGCUCAAAUCACAUCAAAAAAAAAAAUCUCUCAAGUGAGGCUGAGGAGCAUCGGCGCAUCUCUCAGAUUCAAUGCACGACACCAAAGAUGAAGCAGGGUUUCCUUCUUACCUGCCGUGACGUUUAGCGAGCGGCGAGCGAAUGGGCGAAAGCCGCAGGACGGUGUGGGCCGGUGGGACUCGAGUGAAUCACUGGGGUUCACUGAACACGACGGCGGAGCAGAAUAAUCCCCGGGAUCCGGUGACUCAGCUGGGUUUAGAGAAGUCAAGAGGAAUCGAGUUUAGCCAAGAAUGCAGUGCUUGAGUGACGAAAACACCAGGGAGAUCGAGCGUCAGAACAGCGACACGUAACUCCUUCCACGUCCUUUUCACGCUCUGUCGGUGGGUUCAAGGGUUUUAAUUUCAGCGCUUUUCAGAAUAUCUUUGUUCCACGGAAAAAAGGAAACCGUUUACAACAGAAAAACGCGUGUUAUUAACACUUGAGGGAAAGUAGCUGUACCGUAUGUUUUCUUUUAAUCACACAGCUAAUUGUGUUUUUAGAGAAACACGUCUAAUCAGGUUUGAAUGCACUCGAACAACUUUUUUACUUUGAAUUAUUUUUCUGAAACAAUGCUUUUGUUUAGCAAAGGUGCAUUAAAAUGAUGUUAGAAAUGUUUUGUUUGUCAAAUAAAUGCUGCUCUUUUGAACUUUACACCAUAUUGAGGAACGAUGCUGAAAAAAUUGCCAAAUGUUCUUCUAUAAAACGUGCAUUUACUUACCUCCUUACAAUCACUAAAUACAUUGACUACACAUAAAUACGUAUCCUUAUGAAUACUGAAAUCGGGGCGUUAAUUUUAAUUUUUUAGUUUGCAGCUGCAUUAAACCGUUUACUUAAUAUGAAAUGAUAGCAAAAACAGGCCUUUAUAAAACAGAAAUGCGCGUUUUAUGCUUGUAAAUGUUACUUAUCCAUACCAACGUAUAAACAUGAGAUCGGGCUGGAAUUGCAGGAAUGAAUUACAAUUUGAAACAUAUCAAAAUAGAAAGCUGUUAUUCUAAAUAUUUCACAAUAUUCCUGCUUUGAUCAAACUAUUUUGAUCAGUGCGUAUGAUGAUGAAGGUUUAAACGUUUUAUAGACCCCAAAUCUUGGUAGUGUACAUAUCAGCAAAUAAAUAAGCAUAAUAUAACCAUGUUUUUUUAAUCUCGUUGUAAACUUUGCUGUUGCGUAGCUGUUGAACUGUAUUCGGUUCCCGCCGUUCCAAUUCGAAUUCAAAUCAAAUUUCAGCCAUUAUUUCGAAAUAGAACGUUCUGAGAACGUUUAAUAGAACGUUGUAUUAAAAUGAUGUCAGGUACAGGAAUGGUGCUUCUGGAGGUGACAUCACUAUUCCUGGCUUCAGCUGCCAAUGGGAGAAUAAGCUUUCAGUAUACAGCCAUAAUGUCUAAUUAUAAGUAAAGAAGAUCCUCCGGGUCAGCUGGCAUUUAAUCAAUAACAGACGUGAUGGAUGAAUGCGGCGGCUGCUUUAAAGAGCAGUGCGGAGAAUAGAAAGAGGAUGAUAAAUAGAUAAUAGAAUUCACUGUAGCCGCGUGGAAAUCCAUUUUGAGCAAAACCGAGCGUGGCAUACAUGGGAUUUUAAAAGCUCCUUCUUCGUAACCGUCGCUUGGGGUGAGACCGAGGAGAGCGGUUCGAAAGCUCCGCGUCGGCCUCCUCGAGAAGGUCUUAGGGCCCGUGUCGUUCCUGUCCGUCUGCGGGGCCGAACGAGCCGCUCAAUGAAACUGAUUGCAUUUCACUCCUGUUGUUUGGCCUUUGUGUUGAACCCACAAGAGCGCGCAGUAGAUCUAUAGACAACAAACAGAGAAUAUCGACAUGGCAGGUUACCGGCCAUUAGGAUUCACUCGCUACAUCCGUGAUUUCUAGCAUGAUUAACAGGCCUGGGAAAUGUGCUGGAAGGGAAUAUUCUCUAAACUAGUACAGGACCGUCGCUGUAUAAUGCACCUUUAAAGUGCUAAAAUGGCUUUUAUCACCUCGGUGACAGCUUCGUAACUCUUUCUUAUGAGAGUGUGCUGAAACUGCUCUUGGUGAGCGCGAUCUGCAUGAGUAAUACUGUGAAGUAAACUCAAAAAUAUCAUAUAUAUAUAUAUAUAUGGCUGGGAAUCGUAAAUCACGUAAUUCAGCCCAUUUGAAAGCAUGCUCGUUGAAUUUCAUCAAAUAAAAGAGUUAUUUUUUAAGCGCAUUUUUAUUUGAUUCAUUGUUAGUGAAAAAAUUUACUGAAGAUUUCUGGGUGAAAAACACAUGACGGCAAUUUUCGAAAAAAAUGUAAUUGCUAAAUUUCACAAUUACAAAGAAAUGUCACGUGAUGCAUUGAAUUAAAUAACAUGGUUUUUUUUUCAAGCUUUCUUCGUCUGUUAAUUAGGUCAGCAUUAUUAAAUUGACUUUACAUUAGCAUGCUUGAUCAGGUAUAUCAUAAGAUAUGGGUUUAUUUCAAUUCUUUUGAUCAGCAAGGAUGCAAACCGAUUAAAAGUCACAGUAACUGUGUUUCUUAUAUUCUACAAAAGAUCUUUCAAAUUAAUGCUAAUCCUUUGAACUAUUAAUAAAAUAUAAAGACUGAAA